AGGAGCGUAGCUCAGUUGGUAGAGCAGCGGUCUCCAAAACCGCAGGUCGCGGGUUCGAGUCCUGCCGCUCCUGCCA
RNAcentral lists this transfer RNA (76 nucleotides) under SAR202 cluster bacterium. RNAcentral describes it as "tRNA-Trp". It matches the Rfam family "tRNA". Rfam says of the family: Transfer RNA (tRNA) molecules are approximately 80 nucleotides in length. Their secondary structure includes four short double-helical elements and three loops (D, anti-codon, and T loops). Further hydrogen bonds mediate the characteristic L-shaped molecular structure. tRNAs have two regions of fundamental functional importance: the anti-codon, which is responsible for specific mRNA codon recognition, and the 3' end, to which the tRNAs corresponding amino acid is attached (by aminoacyl-tRNA synthetases). tRNAs cope with the degeneracy of the genetic code in two manners: having more than one tRNA (with a specific anti-codon) for a particular amino acid; and 'wobble' base-pairing, i.e. permitting non-standard base-pairing at the 3rd anti-codon position. The record is from RNAcentral. Lineage: Bacteria; Bacillati; Chloroflexota; Dehalococcoidia.